UGAGUUUUAGUAAAUGACCCCCUAAAAGUCUCACACACAUUAGUUCUAUUAGGACAAACCAUAACCCAUAUACAUAAGAAUAAAAAUCUUUGUAAUAGUUAUGUCCACCAUUAACAACACUGUUUGGGCACAAGGUCCCUUUGCUAUACUAAAUAUAAAUUAGAAACUGCUUAACAAGGAACACAGUGAGGAAUAUUAUGGGGAUGCCUCUCAACCUGAUGUAACAGAAACCAACAAACUAUAUGAGCAACAAACUAUUUACUGAGUUAAUCUAAAAUAAUGUUUUCCUUUACCAGGUCUGCAAUGAAUAUGGAUUUGACAAACUAUACCCGGACCCAACUGGCUGGAUAGACCUCGAACAAUGUGUUGGAUCAGGAGGAUUUGGAGUAAUCCAUAAGGCAUGGCAUUUUAAGGAAAAGAAAGAAGUGGCCAUAAAAGUAAUAAAAGAUCUUACGGUAAUGUAUAUGUUUUACUAUUUAAUUUAUUAUAAUGAGAAUGUUGCAGAAAGUGUUGUGUUACACAUACAAAUCAACUGCCAGUAAAAAGAGACUUUGUAAACCAUGAUUAGCAAGUCGCCCCCUUAUAUAAUGGAUAGUCAUAAUGCAAAAUGGAAUUUGUAAUGAUUAGAAAUGGACUUCUUUAUAUGCCCCAAGCUCUGCUCAGCCCGGUGAAAUAUUCAUUGGAGGUUUAAUUAUUUAAUAAAUGCAAAACUAACUAUAUCAACUGCUUGUAAUAUUUGCAGCUUAUAAAAGGCAAUUGUGUGACUUAUAUUCAUUAAUCUCUAUGUAACAAUACUAUAAAGUAACCACCCCUAACAGAAGGGGAUUUAAAUCACACCAAAUCAUAGCAAAAAAAUAUUAUAACCCAUUUCAAAACAUUGCAAGUAAACACAUGGAGUGGCAUAGAGAAAGAGGGGAAGUUAGUAUCUAUGAUUGAGAGUGGACGCCAUUACAGCACAUCACAGAGAGACUUGAGAGAACUGAUAGCCGGAUGAUCCCUCUAUCCCCGCUCUGACCGUGGGCUCCGAAAUGGGGGAAACCAAUAUUGGAUAAAACCUGUUAACUUUAUUAAACUUUACUAGCUUUAUGCAUUCAGAAGCUUCUGAUGAACUGACUCCAGUCACGAAAUGCGUAAAGCUAGUUCCCCUGCCCGCUUACACUUUUGUAUUCUUAACAUGGAUUAAUAAAAUUAACUGGUUUUAUCCAAGUUUGGUUUCCUCGAGUUCUGAUCCGGUGAGGUCAUCCCUACUAUCAAGUUUGUUUGGGAAGUUAGUAUCUGUGGUGUUGGCACUGUGGUACACUGAUGGCAAACUAAUGAAUUCUAUGUUUUACAACAAGGAUUAAAUAGUUAUCAUAUUAAUGAUCAUUAUUUCUGUAUCUAGGAUAAUGAAGAGAUCUUUGCUGAACUGUACGUACUUCAACGCGUUUCUGGCCACGACAACUUCCCUGCCUUUUAUGGAGCCUAUUAUCUACGGCCCAGCAUUUCAACUGAAGAGGCGCUAUGGAUUGCUAUGACAAUGUGUGCUGGUGGCUCCGUAGACGCCUUAAUUAGGAGCACGCCCAAUAGAUCCUUGGAUGAGACCUGGAUUUCAUACAUAUGCAAGAAAGUUUUACAGGGCCUGGAUUACUUACAAGAACUGAGCGUGAUACAUCAUGAUCUCAAGGGCGCCAAUAUAAUGUUAACUUCUACGGCCCGUGUGAAGAUAAUUGAUUUUGGCCUUGCCACAAUAGGGCCCAUCAGUACAAGUAAUGCAGGAACCCGCUGUUGGAUGGCACCUGAAGUCCAUGCAUGUUUUACAGGAAAUGUACAUUAUAACUGC
Molecule: long non-coding RNA, 1819 nt
Organism: Xenopus laevis (African clawed frog)
Lineage: Eukaryota; Metazoa; Chordata; Amphibia; Anura; Pipidae
Exons: 6
Source: RefSeq, a predicted model, not a curated record